CAGCAGCCGCGGGAAUACGGAGGGUGCAAGCGUUAUCCGGAUUUAUUGGGUUUAAAGGGUCCGUAGGCGGACUUAUAAGUCAGUGGUGAAAGCCUGUCGCUUAACGAUAGAACUGCCAUUGAUACUGUAAGUCUUGAGUAUAUUUGAGGUAGCUGGAAUAAGUAGUGUAGCGGUGAAAUGCAUAGAUAUUACUUAGAACACCAAUUGCGAAGGCAGGUUACCAAGAUAUAACUGACGCUGAGGGACGAAAGCGUGGGUAGCGAACAGGAUUAGAGACCCCGGUAGUCCCUGUCUCUUAUAC
RNAcentral lists this ribosomal RNA (301 nucleotides) under uncultured bacterium. Its description in RNAcentral is "partial 16S ribosomal RNA". It matches the Rfam family "Bacterial small subunit ribosomal RNA", at positions 509 to 807 of the family's 1533-position model. The record is from RNAcentral.